AUGUUGGCUUAGAAGCAGCCACCAUUUAAAGAGUGCGUAAUAGCUCACUGGUCGAGUGACUCUGCGCCGAAAAUGUAACGGGGCUAAACACACCACCGAAGCUAUGACAUGUACCAUUAGGUACUUGGGUAGGGGAGCGUUGAAUACGGAUUGAAGUUGGACCGUGAGGACUGGUGGACUGUAUUCAAGUGAGAAUGCCGGUAUGAGUAACGAAAAGACAAGUGAGAAUCUUGUCCGCCGAAAGCCUAAGGGUUCCUGAGGAAGGCUCGUCCUCUCAGGGUAAGUCGGGACCUAACGCGAGGCCGAAAGGCGUAGUGGAUGGACAACAGGUUGAAAUUCCUGUACCACCGUAAACCGUUAUGAGCAAUGGGGUGACACAGAAGGGCAGUGACGCGGGCUGAUGGAAUAGCCCGUCCAAGCAGUGAGGCUGAUCGAUAGGCAAAUCCGUCGAUCAUUAAGGCUGGGCUGUGAUGGGGAGCGAAAAUUGUAGUAGCGAAGGUCAUGUACUCCGGCUGUCAAGAAAAGCCUCUAGCCAGGUGAAGGUGCCCGUACCGCAAACCGACACAGGUAGGCGAGCAGAGCAUGCUAAGGCGCGCGGAAGAACUCUCGUUAAGGAACUCGGCAAAAUGACCCCGUAACUUCGGGAGAAGGGGUGCCUCGGUAGGGUGAAUAGCCCGAGGGGGCCGCAGUGAAAAGGCCCAAGCGACUGUUUAGCAAAAACACAGGUCUGUGCGAAGCCGUAAGGCGAAGUAUAGGGGCUGACGCCUGCCCGGUGCUGGAAGGUUAAGGGGAGCGGUUAGGGAGUAAUCCCGAAGCUGUGAACCGAAGCCCCAGUAAACGGCGGCCGUAACUAUAACGGUCCUAAGGUAGCGAAAUUCCUUGUCAGGUAAAUUCUGACCCGCACGAAUGGCGUAACGACUUGGGCGCUGUCUCAACGAGAGAUCCGGUGAAAUUUUAAUACCUGUGAAGAUGCAGGUUACCCGCGACAAGACGGAAAGACCCCAUGGAGCUUUACUGUAACUUGAUAUUGGACUUUGGUACGAUCUGUACAGGAUAGGUGGGAGCCUUUGAAGCAUGAGCGCCAGCUUGUGUGGAGGCAUCGUUGGGAUACCACCCUGAUCGUAUCGGAGUUCUAACCUACUACCGUGAAACCGGUAGAGGGACCGUGUCAGGUGGACAGUUUGACUGGGGCGGUCGCCUCCUAAAAUGUAACGGAGGCGCCCAAAGGUUCCCUCAGAAUGGUUGGAAAUCAUUCGAAGAGUGCAAAGGCAUAAGGGAGCUUGACUGCGAGACCUACAAGUCGAGCAGGGACGAAAGUCGGGCUUAGUGAUCCGGUGGUACCGAAUGGAAGGGCCAUCGCUCAACGGAUAAAAGCUACCCUGGGGAUAACAGGCUUAUCUCCCCCAAGAGUCCACAUCGACGGGGAGGUUUGGCACCUCGAUGUCGGCUCAUCGCAUCCUGGGGCUGUAGUCGGUCCCAAGGGUUGGGCUGUUCGCCCAUUAAAGCGGUACGCGAGCUGGGUUCAGAACGUCGUGAGACAGUUCGGUCCCUAUCUGUCGCGGGCGCAGGAAAUUUGAGAGGAGCUGUCCUUAGUACGAGAGGACCGGGAUGGACGUACCGCUGGUGUACCAGUUGUUCCGCCAGGAGCACCGCUGGGUAGCCAAGUACGGACGGGAUAAGCGCUGAAAGCAUCUAAGCGUGAAGCCCCCCUCAAGAUGAGAUUUCCCAGUAUGUAAGACCCCUUGAAGACGACGAGGUUGAUAGGUUCGGGGUGGAAGCACAGCAAUGUGUGUAGCUGACGAAUACUAAUCGGUCGAGGGCUUAUCCUAA
RNAcentral lists this ribosomal RNA (1830 nucleotides) under Bacillus velezensis. RNAcentral describes it as "partial 23S ribosomal RNA". It matches the Rfam family "Bacterial large subunit ribosomal RNA", at positions 1098 to 2925 of the family's 2925-position model. The record is from RNAcentral. Lineage: Bacteria; Bacillati; Bacillota; Bacilli; Caryophanales; Bacillaceae.